RNAcentral lists this ribosomal RNA (253 nucleotides) under uncultured bacterium. RNAcentral's name for it is "partial 16S ribosomal RNA". It matches the Rfam family "Bacterial small subunit ribosomal RNA", at positions 524 to 776 of the family's 1533-position model. The record is from RNAcentral.
UACGGAGGUGGCAAGCGUUACUCGGAAUCAUUGGGUGUAAAGGGCAAGUAGGCGGUCUAUUAAGUGAGGGGUGAAAUCUUCCGACUCAAUCGGAAAACUGCCUUUCAAACUGAUAGACUUGAGGUAGGAAGGGGGAAACGGAAUUCCAGGUGUAAGGGUGAAAUCUGUAGAUAUCUGGAAGAACACCGGCGGCGAAGGCGGUUUCCUGGUCCUACCCUGACGCUGAAUUGCGAAAGCUAGGGGAGCAAACAGA